UACGGGGGGGGCAAGCGUUGUUCGGAAUUACUGGGCGUAAAGGGCGCGUAGGCGGCCUUCUAAGUCGGACGUGAAAUCCCUCGGCUUAACCGGGGAACUGCGUCUGAUACUGGAUGGCUUGAGUUCGGGAGAGGGAUGCGGAAUUCCAGGUGUAGCGGUGAAAUGCGUAGAUAUCUGGAGGAACACCGGUGGCGAAGGCGGGUCUCUGGGCAUUUCCUGACGCUGAGGCGCGAAAGCGUGGGGAGCAAACGGG
RNAcentral lists this ribosomal RNA (253 nucleotides) under uncultured bacterium. RNAcentral's name for it is "partial 16S ribosomal RNA". It matches the Rfam family "Bacterial small subunit ribosomal RNA", at positions 524 to 776 of the family's 1533-position model. The record is from RNAcentral.